UCUCUGCUUGCGCAUGCGCAAUGCCAGCCAGUGCCUGCGCGGCUUGCUCCAGCAAGGUAAAAUUUCCCACUGCGAGGCAGGCAGUGAUGCUGCGGCCGCUUCGCACUGUGGCUCCUGCCGACCGCCAGGCGCUGUUACAGUGGAUGCGAACUAACCGUAAGUCAUUAUAUCGUACUGCAGAAACCAGCUCAACUAUGCAAAACUACCACCAGGACUGGCCGACACCAGGAGGGAUUCCAGAGACCACACUGCAGGGAGCAUACAGAAAGAAAAUUAAGAGAUCAGAUGCAGCAGCAGCCGGAACCCACAGUUCACCUUGGUGCAUUCCUUUAUGAUGAAGACUUAUUGAUUCAUUAUAUGAGAAAGGAAAAAUGAGCAGAAACUACUGUAUGAUGUGCAGCUCACACCAGACAGCAACUUUAGGGUUAUCUUUCCAGUUCAGCAGUGCAACUCUAUGGAGUAGAAUUGAAAGGAGACUUUUCGCCAAUUGCAGGAAAUGGUCAUAAAAAAAUACCUGCUCACUGACAGAAUAAAGGUGCUUCAUGCAGACAUCUGUACACCAGAUUUACUUCUGCAAAAUGCUGAUGCUAUGAAUAAUGCUUUUGAAUAUUAAUAAGGCAAAACAGACCAGAAAAAAAAAAUUGUAUUUGAAGCUUCUUUGCAAAGAAAUGAGUGAAUGCAACUUCCUUAAAACCUACCUGCAUUCUGACAACAUGGGACCCACAAUUUAUGGGAUAAAAUGAAGCUUGAAAAUUACUUUAGGUUGAUGUUGAGAAGUUGGAACCCUCCUACAUUGCUGCACAUGUGCCUCACUCUUCAUGGUAAAUGUUUUACUGAAGAAUAACAUACAGAAAAGUGGACAAGUCUUAACUGCACAGCUCAAUGAAUUUCCAUGAAGUAAAUAUACCCAUAUGAUAAUCCAGCUCAAGAAACAGAAAAUCACUACCACCCCAGAAGACUGCCUUAUACUACCAUCUUUUAAGAGUGAAUCACACAUGGGAUAAGAUUAGCAUAUUCGUAGUCUGGAAAAUGCUAUACAAAGAAUGUAAAGCAUGAAACUACUUGUGGACCAAAUGAAAAACUGUGGAGCAGAUUAUGAUGCAGUUAGACCUUGCUUGAAUGACUUUGACCCACAAAAGCAGAGUAAUUUAUCCCUACUUACAGAGAGAUUGCCCUACGUGUAACAGCUGCAUACAAAAAAGUUAUAAAAUUAUCAUUGGUUUAACAAGGAUAAGUGAAAAACAUUAAAAUUCUCCAACUGAACAAGGUGUGUCUGUUUCAUUGAUUGGCUGACUGUCAAAUCGGAAUCUGAUCUGCCCCAUUGACAAUGCCUUGGGCUUUUCCUCGGCCAUGGCAAAUGCCAGAGUCUUCUCAGCUGCCGCUUCACAAAAGAGGUACCAGCUUCUCACUGAACGAACACAGUGCAGCACCAGGAGUGACAGAAGAAGGAGGCGGCAGCGGUGGUUGAGGGACAGGGUGCGUGCACGUCCAAGUACAGUUCUUAAAAUGUUGAGGGCAUACAACAUAUGCUCAAUAAAUACCUGAUUUUUAAAAAAGACAAUGACUAUGGAAAACUCUUGAUCAUUAACCCGAAGGGAGAGUCUAGUUUCCAGGAAGCAUUUGUUUGUAUACACUAUUUAACCCAAGGAUACACUCUUUUCUCCGUGGCAGCGUGACUCAUCUUAGUCUCCAAUUUUUGACCUGUGUCCUGCGCCUUGGCUGUUACAGGUGGAGGUGGAAAAGAAAUUGCCAUUGAUGCUGCAAAUAACUUCCUUCACCUUCUAACCUGGAGAUUCAUUGAAGGAAGAAAAAAGGUGACUGUCAGAGUCCCUGCUGGCCAUGCCUCUCAGCCACAGGACCACUGAGCCACUUAAUUCCUCCCCAGGGUCAGAUGUGCCCCAGCACCAGGUUGUUUAUGGAUACCCUAACCACCUUUUCACACUCCUUGAAGUUUAGCUUUAAAUGUUUUAAGAAUUAGCAAAGUGGGCCGGGCACGGUGGUUCAAGCCUGUAAUCCCAGCACUUUG
RNAcentral lists this long non-coding RNA (2026 nucleotides) under Homo sapiens (human). RNAcentral's name for it is "HSALNT0376341". The record is from RNAcentral. Lineage: Eukaryota; Metazoa; Chordata; Mammalia; Primates; Hominidae.